UACGGGGGGGGCAAGCGUUGUUCGGAAUUACUGGGCGUAAAGGGUGCGUAGGCGGUCCGCUAAGUUGGAUGUGAAAACUCUGGGCUUAACCCAGAGCCUGCAUUCAAUACUGACAGGCUAGAGUUCUGGAGGGGAUAGCAGAAUUCCUGGUGUAGCGGUGAAAUGCGUAGAUAUCAGGAGGAACACCGGUGGCGAAGGCGGCUACCUGGACCACAACUGACGCUGAGGCGCGAAAGCUAGGGGAGCAAACAGG
RNAcentral lists this ribosomal RNA (253 nucleotides) under uncultured bacterium. RNAcentral's name for it is "partial 16S ribosomal RNA". It matches the Rfam family "Bacterial small subunit ribosomal RNA", at positions 524 to 776 of the family's 1533-position model. The record is from RNAcentral.